AUGGCCGGCAAGGCCGACCUGGUGAUUGGGCGUGACGAUGAGAUUGAUCGCGUCAUCCGCAUCCUCUGUCGCCGGACCAAGAACUGCGCCGCGCUUGUGGGCGCCGCCGGGGUCGGCAAGACGGCCAUCGCCGAGGGCCUCGCCCAACGCAUCGUCGCCGGGAAGGUCCCGUCCAAGCUCGCCGGAGCGCGCGUCAUUGUGCUCAACCUCACGGCGAUGGUGUCUGGUACGACGUACGUUGGCAUGUUCGAGGAGCGCAUGACGGACUUUCUCAAGAAGGUGGCGGCUGCACGCGGCAAGGUGACCCUGUUCGUCGACGAGAUGCACAUGCUUCUUGGCGCCGGAGCGGCCACGGGCACCCACAUGGACGCGGCCAACAUGCUGAAGCCAGCAUUGGCCCGUGGCCAUAUCCGAUGCCUGGGCGCCACUACUGACGAUGAGUGUUCCAAGUAUAUCGAGAAGGAUCCUGCACUCGAGCGGCGGUUCCAAAUAGUGCACGUUGAGGAGCCGAGCACGCAUUCCACCAUUUCUAUCCUCCACGGGCUUAAACCCCGGUACCAAACACUACCAGAACAGGGGCUGGUGCCGACGGCCACCGUUGGCCUACUCCUUGAUAUGCCUACAGCCGGAUCUAGGCCGUCGGCGUACCGAGGCCGUCGGGCUAUCCCGAGGUAUGCCGACGGCCACCGUCGGCUUAGACCCAUCCUACACCUACAGCCGCCGUCGGCAUAUAUUAGCCGUCGGCAUAGUUGCGGGCCCGGCGGCCGCCCGUGA
This 774-nucleotide ribosomal RNA is filed under the name Triticum aestivum (bread wheat). RNAcentral's name for it is "partial small subunit ribosomal RNA". Lineage: Eukaryota; Viridiplantae; Streptophyta; Magnoliopsida; Poales; Poaceae. The record is from RNAcentral.